AGUGAACGCUGGCGGUAUGCCUAACACAUGCAAGUCGAACGGCAGCACAGUAAGAGCUUGCUCUUACGGGUGGCGAGUGGCGGACGGGUGAGGAAUACAUCGGAAUCUACUUUUUCGUGGGGGAUAACGUAGGGAAACUUACGCUAAUACCGCAUACGACCUACGGGUGAAAGCAGGGGAUCUUCGGACCUUGCGCGAUUGAAUGAGCCGAUGUCGGAUUAGCUAGUUGGCGGGGUAAAGGCCCACCAAGGCGACGAUCCGUAGCUGGUCUGAGAGGAUGAUCGGCCACACUGGAACUGAGACACGGUCCAGACUCCUACGGGAGGCGGCAGUGGGGAAUAUUGGACAAUGGGCGCAAGCCUGAUCCAGCCAUACCGCGUGGGUGAAGAAGGCCUUCGGGUUGUAAAGCCCUUUUGUUGGGAAAGAAAAGCAGCAGGUUAAUACCCCGCUGUUCUGACGGUACCCAAAGAAUAAGCACCGGCUAACUUCGUG
RNAcentral lists this ribosomal RNA (492 nucleotides) under uncultured bacterium. RNAcentral's name for it is "partial 16S ribosomal RNA". It matches the Rfam family "Bacterial small subunit ribosomal RNA", at positions 29 to 507 of the family's 1533-position model. The record is from RNAcentral.